UAGGCAGCGAGCGUUGUUCGGAGUUACUGGGCGUAAAGAGCGCGCAGGCGGUCGUUCAAGUCGCGUGUGAAAGCCCCCGGCUCAACUGGGGAGGGUCACGCGAUACUGAUCGACUCGAAGGCAGGAGAGGGUAGUGGAAUUCCCGGUGUAGUGGUGAAAUGCGUAGAUAUCGGGAGGAACACCAGUGGCGAAGGCGACUACCUGGCCUGUUCUUGACGCUGAGGCGCGAAAGCUAGGGGAGCAAACGGG
This 249-nucleotide ribosomal RNA is filed under the name uncultured bacterium. Its description in RNAcentral is "partial 16S ribosomal RNA". It matches the Rfam family "Bacterial small subunit ribosomal RNA", at positions 528 to 776 of the family's 1533-position model. The record is from RNAcentral.